AGUGAACGCUGGCGGUAGGCCUAACACAUGCAAGUCGAACGGCAGCACAGUAAGAGCUUGCUCUUACGGGUGGCGAGUGGCGGACGGGUGAGGAAUACAUCGGAAUCUACUUUUUCGUGGGGGAUAACGUAGGGAAACUUACGCUAAUACCGCAUACGACCUACGGGUGAAAGCAGGGGAUCUUCGGACCUUGCGCGAUUGAAUGAGCCGAUGUCGGAUUAGCUAGUUGGCGGGGUAAAGGCCCACCAAGGCGACGAUCCGUAGCUGGUCUGAGAGGAUGAUCAGCCACACUGGAACUGAGACACGGUCCAGACUCCUACGGGAGGCAGCAGUGGGGAAUAUUGGACAAUGGGCGCAAGCCUGAUCCAGCCAUACCGCGUGGGUGAAGAAGGCCUUCGGGUUGUAAAGCCCUUUUGUUGGGAAAGAAAAGCAGCAGGUUAAUACCCCGCUGUUCUGACGGUGCCCAAAGAAUAAGCACCGGCCAACUUCGUG
Molecule: ribosomal RNA, 492 nt
Filed under: uncultured bacterium
Lineage: Bacteria
Description: partial 16S ribosomal RNA
Rfam family: Bacterial small subunit ribosomal RNA
Source: RNAcentral